CAAAAUCCUGGACAAGCACACUGCUUUGACUUGAAAUGUGUUUUACCAACAGAUUCCUGGACACCAGAGAUCUGCUAUUCAAAUCAAUGCCUGCUAACAUUGGGCUUGAUUAAAGGAAGCUAACUAAGCCUUUUGAAGGAUACCCUCCAGCCUUCCCUCUGUUUCCAUGUUCCCUUGGCAGAAAUCAGGGAUUUGAAAGCUGCAAUUCAACAGCAUCAUCCUUUCAUCUCAUGGAACACUGAUCAUCCUCCCACACCGAAGCACCACUCAUCCCUACUGAGGGCUAGCAGCAAUUAUGCUGUAACAAAGCUCCUCUUCACCAUCACCAGAGUCUCCGGUGCCGUCUAUGUCUCCAUCCUCAGCACUGCUAUCCAGGGGUGCCCCACCAAAGCUGUCCAGAGCCUCUUCGGCGUCGCGGUGCUGCCGGUAGGUCAUCCAACAGCAGGGCUCC
Long non-coding RNA from Strigops habroptila (Kakapo), 451 nucleotides. RefSeq lists it as uncharacterized. NCBI's taxonomy places the organism in Eukaryota, Metazoa, Chordata, Aves, Psittaciformes, Psittacidae. The record is from RefSeq and is a predicted model, not a curated record. The transcript is spliced from 3 exons.